GAUAAACGCUGGCGGCGUGCCUAAUACAUGCAAGUCGAGCGAACGGACGAGAAGCUUGCUUCUCUGAUGUUAGCGGCGGACGGGUGAGCAACACGUGGAUAACCUACCUAUAAGACUGGGAUAACUUCGGGAAACCGGAGCUAAUACCGGAUAAUAUUUUGAACCGCAUGGUUCAAAAGUGAAAGACGGUCUUGCUGUCACUUAUAGAUGGAUCCGCGCUGCAUUAGCUAGUUGGUAAGGUAACGGCUUACCAAGGCAACGAUGCAUAGCCGACCUGAGAGGGUGAUCGGCCACACUGGAACUGAGACACGGUCCAGACUCCUACGGGAGGCAGCAGUAGGGAAUCUUCCGCAAUGGGCGAAAGCCUGACGGAGCAACGCCGCGUGAGUGAUGAAGGUCUUCGGAUCGUAAAACUCUGUUAUUAGGGAAGAACAUAUGUGUAAGUAACUGUGCACAUCUUGACGGUACCUAAUCAGAAAGCCACGGCUAACUACGUGCCAGCAGCCGCGGUAAUACGUAGGUGGCAAGCGUUAUCCGGAAUUAUUGGGCGUAAAGCGCGCGUAGGCGGUUUUUUAAGUCUGAUGUGAAAGCCCACGGCUCAACCGUGGAGGGUCAUUGGAAACUGGAAAACUUGAGUGCAGAAGAGGAAAGUGGAAUUCCAUGUGUAGCGGUGAAAUGCGCAGAGAUAUGGAGGAACACCAGUGGCGAAGGCGACUUUCUGGUCUGUAACUGACGCUGAUGUGCGAAAGCGUGGGGAUCAAACAGGAUUAGAUACCCUGGUAGUCCACGCCGUAAACGAUGAGUGCUAAGUGUUAGGGGGUUUCCGCCCCUUAGUGCUGCAGCUAACGCAUUAAGCACUCCGCCUGGGGAGUACGACCGCAAGGUUGAAACUCAAAGGAAUUGACGGGGACCCGCACAAGCGGUGGAGCAUGUGGUUUAAUUCGAAGCAACGCGAAGAACCUUACCAAAUCUUGACAUCCUUUGACAACUCUAGAGAUAGAGCCUUCCCCUUCGGGGGACAAAGUGACAGGUGGUGCAUGGUUGUCGUCAGCUCGUGUCGUGAGAUGUUGGGUUAAGUCCCGCAACGAGCGCAACCCUUAAGCUUAGUUGCCAUCAUUAAGUUGGGCACUCUAAGUUGACUGCCGGUGACAAACCGGAGGAAGGUGGGGAUGACGUCAAAUCAUCGUGUCCCUUAUGAUUUGGGCUACACACGUGCUACAAUGGACAAUACAAAGGGCAGCGAAACCGCGAGGUCAAGCAAAUCCCAUAAAGUUGUUCUCAGUUCGGAUUGUAGUCUGCAACUCGACUACAUGAAGCUGGAAUCGCUAGUAAUCGUAGAUCAGCAUGCUACGGUGAAUACGUUCCCGGGUCU
This 1372-nucleotide ribosomal RNA is filed under the name uncultured bacterium. Its description in RNAcentral is "bacterial SSU rRNA". It matches the Rfam family "Bacterial small subunit ribosomal RNA", at positions 28 to 1381 of the family's 1533-position model. The record is from RNAcentral.